GUAAUCCUUGUCUAGGGGAGCUGAGAACGUCCGUGAUCGUUAAGUGAGACUUCUUUUGCUGAAACCCUAAAUUAUUGCCCGCAUCCGUUACAACUUGAACGAAUGCAAUUUUUGAAGAG
This is a small nuclear RNA of Coccinella septempunctata (seven-spotted ladybird), 119 nucleotides long. RefSeq annotates it as U4atac minor spliceosomal RNA. The record is from RefSeq and is a predicted model, not a curated record. NCBI's taxonomy places the organism in Eukaryota, Metazoa, Arthropoda, Insecta, Coleoptera, Coccinellidae. The transcript has a single exon.